This 254-nucleotide ribosomal RNA is filed under the name uncultured bacterium. RNAcentral describes it as "partial 16S ribosomal RNA". It matches the Rfam family "Bacterial small subunit ribosomal RNA", at positions 524 to 776 of the family's 1533-position model. The record is from RNAcentral.
UACGUAGGGUGCAAGCGUUGUCCGGAAUUAUUGGGCGUAAAGAGCUCGUAGGCGGUUUGUCGCGUCUGCUGUGAAAACUCGGGGCUUAACCUCCAGCCUGCAGUGGGUACGGGCAGACUAGAGUGCGGUAGGGGAGAUUGGAAUUCCUGGUGUAGCGGUGGAAUGCGCAGAUAUCAGGAGGAACACCGAUGGCGAAGGCAGAUCUCUGGGCCGUAACUGACGCUGAGUGAGCGAAAGCCAGGGGAGCAAACGGG